RNAcentral lists this ribosomal RNA (572 nucleotides) under uncultured bacterium. RNAcentral's name for it is "partial 16S ribosomal RNA". It matches the Rfam family "Bacterial small subunit ribosomal RNA", at positions 356 to 920 of the family's 1533-position model. The record is from RNAcentral.
UGGGGAAUUUGGACAAUGGGCGAAGCUGAUCCAGCAAUGCCGCGUGUGUGAAGAAGGCCUUCGGGUUGUAAAGCACUUUUGUCCGGAAAGAAAUCCUUGGCUCUAAUACAGUCGGGGGAUGACGGUACCGGAAGAAUAAGCACCGGCUAACUACGUGCCAGCAGCCGCGGUAAUACGUAGGGUGCAAGCGUUAAUCGGAAUUACUGGGCGUAAAGCGUGCGCAGGCGGUUUGCUAAGACCGAUGUGAAAUCCCCGGGCUCAACCUGGGAACUGCAUUGGUGACUGGGCAGGCUAGAGUAUGGCAGAGGGGGGUAGAAUUCCACGUGUAGCAGUGAAAUGCGUAGAGAUGUGGAGGAAUACCGAUGGCGAAGGCAGCCCCCUGGGCAAUACUGACGCUCAUGCACGAAAAGCGUGGGGAGCAAACAGGAUUAGAUACCCUGGUAGUCCACGCCCUAAAACGAUGUCAACUAGUUGUUGGGGAUUCAUUUCCUUAGUAACGUAGCUAACGCGUGAAGUUGACCGCCUGGGGAGUAACGGUCGCAAGAUUAAAACUCAAAUGAAUUGACGGGAUC